RNAcentral lists this ribosomal RNA (497 nucleotides) under uncultured bacterium. Its description in RNAcentral is "partial 16S ribosomal RNA". It matches the Rfam family "Bacterial small subunit ribosomal RNA", at positions 28 to 507 of the family's 1533-position model. The record is from RNAcentral.
GAUGAACGCUGGCGGCGUGCCUAAUACAUGCAAGACGAGCGAACGGACGAGAAGCUUGCUUCUCUGAUGUUAGCGGCGGACGGGUGAGUAACACGUGGAUAACCUACCUAUAAGACUGGGAUAACUUCGGGAAACCGGAGCUAAUACCGGAUGAUAUUUUGAACCGCAUGGUUCAAAAGUGAAAGACGGUCUUGCUGUCACUUAUAGAUGGAUCCGCGCUGCAUUAGCUAGUUGGUAAGGUAACGGCUUACCAAGGCAACGAUGCAUAGCCGACCUGAGAGGGUGAUCGGCCACACUGGAACUGAGACACGGUCCAGACUCCUACGGGAGGCAGCAGUAGGGAAUCUUCCGCAAUGGGCGAAAGCCUGACGGAGCAACGCCGCGUGAGUGAUGAAGGUCUUCGGAUCGUAAAACUUUGUUAUUAGGGAAGAACAUAUGUGUAAGUAACUGUGCACAUCUUGACGGUACCUAAUCAGAAAGCCACGGCUAACUACGUG